Molecule: ribosomal RNA, 1437 nt
Filed under: Vibrio sp. 99-8-1
Lineage: Bacteria; Pseudomonadati; Pseudomonadota; Gammaproteobacteria; Vibrionales; Vibrionaceae
Description: bacterial SSU rRNA
Rfam family: Bacterial small subunit ribosomal RNA
Source: RNAcentral
AAAUUGAAGAGUUUGAUCAUGGCUCAGAUUGAACGCUGGCGGCAGGCCUAACACAUGCAAGUCGAGCGGAAACGGCAAUAAAGAUUCUUCGGAUGAUUUAUUGGACGUCGAGCGGCGGACGGGUGAGUAAUGCUUAGGAAUUUGCCCAGUCGAGGGGGAUAACUAUUGGAAACGAUAGCUAAUACCGCAUACGCCCUACGGGGGAAAAGAGGGGACCUUCGGGCCUUCUGCGAUUGGAUAAGCCUAAGUGAGAUUAGCUAGUUGGUGAGGUAAUGGCUCACCAAGGCGACGAUCUCUAGCUGGUCUGAGAGGAUGAUCAGCCACACUGGAACUGAGACACGGUCCAGACUCCUACGCAAUUAUUUGACGUUAGCGACAGAAGAAGCACCGGCUAACUCCGUGCCAGCAGCCGCGGUAAUACGGAGGGUGCGAGCGUUAAUCGGAAUUACUGGGCGUAAAGCGCAUGCAGGUGGUUUGUUAAGUCAGAUGUGAAAGCCCCAGGCUCAACCUGGGAAGGUCAUUUGAAACUGGCAAACUAGAGUACUGUAGAGGGGGGUAGAAUUUCAGGUGUAGCGGUGAAAUGCGUAGAGAUCUGAAGGAAUACCAGUGGCGAAGGCGGCCCCCUGGACAGAUACUGACACUCAGAUGCGAAAGCGUGGGGAGCAAACAGGAUUAGAUACCCUGGUAGUCCACGCCGUAAACGAUGUCUACUUGGAGGUUGUGGCCUUGAGCCGUGGCUUUCGGAGCUAACGCGUUAAGUAGACCGCCUGGGGAGUACGGUCGCAAGAUUAAAACUCAAAUGAAUUGACGGGGGCCCGCACAAGCGGUGGAGCAUGUGGUUUAAUUCGAUGCAACGCGAAGAACCUUACCUACUCUUGACAUCCAGAGAAGCCAGCGGAGACGCAGGUGUGCCUUCGGGAGCUCUGAGACAGGUGCUGCAUGGCUGUCGUCAGCUCGUGUUGUGAAAUGUUGGGUUAAGUCCCGCAACGAGCGCAACCCUUAUCCUUGAUUGCCAGCACUUCGGGUGGGAACUUCAGGGAGACUGCCGGUGAUAAACCGGAGGAAGGUGGGGACGACGUCAAGUCAUCAUGGCCCUUACGAGUAGGGCUACACACGUGCUACAAUGGCGCAUACAGAGGGCAGCCAACUUGCGAAAGUGAGCGAAUCCCAAAAAGUGCGUCGUAGUCCGGAUUGGAGUCUGCAACUCGACUCCAUGAAGUCGGAAUCGCUAGUAAUCGUAGAUCAGAAUGCUACGGUGAAUACGUUCCCGGGCCUUGUACACACCGCCCGUCACACCAUGGGAGUGGGCUGCAAAAGAAGUAGGUAGUUUAACCUUCGGGGGGACGCUUACCACUUUGUGGUUCAUGACUGGGGUGAAGUCGUAACAAGGUAGCCCUAGGGGAACCUGGGGCUGGAUCACCUCCUUAAUACGAAGAU